GCGGAAAUGGCGAAAUUGGUAGACGCACUGGAUUUAGGUUCCAGCGCCGCGAGGCGUGAGAGUUCGAGUCUCUCUUUCCGCA
This is a transfer RNA of Rheinheimera sp. F8, 82 nucleotides long. It matches the Rfam family "tRNA". From Rfam's summary of the family: Transfer RNA (tRNA) molecules are approximately 80 nucleotides in length. Their secondary structure includes four short double-helical elements and three loops (D, anti-codon, and T loops). Further hydrogen bonds mediate the characteristic L-shaped molecular structure. tRNAs have two regions of fundamental functional importance: the anti-codon, which is responsible for specific mRNA codon recognition, and the 3' end, to which the tRNAs corresponding amino acid is attached (by aminoacyl-tRNA synthetases). tRNAs cope with the degeneracy of the genetic code in two manners: having more than one tRNA (with a specific anti-codon) for a particular amino acid; and 'wobble' base-pairing, i.e. permitting non-standard base-pairing at the 3rd anti-codon position. NCBI's taxonomy places the organism in Bacteria, Pseudomonadati, Pseudomonadota, Gammaproteobacteria, Chromatiales, Chromatiaceae. The record is from Rfam.